UAAAACUACAGUAAUUUCCUUCUCCAGGAAAACCACUACUUUGAUCUUUGAUUACAAACUUUUUCAGUCCUCCAUAACACGUACCGACACUAUUAAAGACCUGGGAAUAUUUUUCGACUCCAAGCUCCGAUUUCACAACCAUGUUGACCACAUAUUUUCACAUUGUAUUAAGUUGCUGGGUCUUGUUCGCACAUUAACCUUUUCGUUCUCUUCUCUCGAUUGCCUGUAUAUGUUAUAUGUAACCUUAGUUAGAUCCAAGCUCGAGUACGCCUCGAUCGUUUGGAAUUCUAUUACGACUACUGAUGCCAACAAACUGGAACGUAUCCAGCAGAAGUUUUCAGCCCUUUGCUACUAUAGUUUCCUCCCCCAAGUGCAUUACAGCUAUGCUAUGCUGACCGUCGUGACCCCUUUUGGGGUUCUCUUGCAAAAGUACCACGGUAGUUUCGCCUUGCCUUCCGUGACCAGUCUUUACCCACCAGACUGGAAGAGGAGAGGUGGACAAACAUCUAUGCCUUGAGUGGAACUCGAACCCACGGUCGCAGUGGGCAGGCACACGAGGACCAACCCAUAUGGGUUGUUGCUGUACAAAACAGAAUUUUGCAAAAGGAACCAGCUGUUGUGUAUGGGUAUUAUGUUGUUAUUAAUUGCAUGCUACAAUGGAUAUUAAUUAGAACUGGUACGUGAUUUAAGAGUCUUUAUUAUAUUCAUAUAUGUGUUAGUGGAAAUGUGUGCCCAAUAUUGUAACUCGGCUUUUACCGAUGUUUUUCACUUUUGAUGCUGUUAUCACUUUCCGUAAAUAAGUUUGUUUUGAAGGAAACAGAGACGAUGUUGAUACUCUUGCCCCAUAAACAUCUACUGUUUUCAAACAACUGGUAAACAGCAGUCAAAGUCUGUUACUGUAAGUGAAACCAACAGAAGUUCCCAGAAAGUUACGCCCUUGCUGACAGCAUCAAGAGCAUCACAAGACAACUCUGAUCUGUGACAAGUUUAGUCCUGAUACGUUGCUCUGUUCAGUUAGAAGUCAGCCACUGCUAAAGCCAUAAGCAGCAACCCUUUGUACAUUUGCUGCUGUUAUUGCUUCUAUGAAUGUGAUGAAGCAUUCAGUGAUCAUGUUACCAGAGACAACACCUAUAAACACUAGGCCACGUAGGUUACCAGGAGCCCAGAAAGUAGAGACAGAGAAACAAGUAGACAAACUUUGAGAAGAAGGUAUAACAAGAGAUAGUAGUUCACUGUGGAAGAGUCCACUCUCGGUAGUGCCAAAGAAAGCUGACGCAAGCAGAGAAAAAUGGCAGACAGUGGUAGGUUUCAGGAAAUUAAAUCAAAAGGCAAUUGUAAAUGCCUGAUAUAACAGAAAUUUUAAUGUUGUGUACUGCACAUGGGAAAACCAUGCUAUGUGCCUUGUGUGAGUUCAACUGGUUGGUCAAUAGGAUUUUAUGGAUGACUGACUGCCGCCUGGUGGAUUAAUUGCAGCUAGAGAGUAAACUUGAACAAGAUAUUCAUUACACCCAUGUAUCUUAGAUUGGCCGAUAGAUACCUUCAUUUGUACCAAGUACAAGAGUUGCUACUUACCGAAGCCACGGGACUUUAUGCCAAUACAUUACCACAGAGUUCCUUUAUUUUGCAAUUACACUCACAUAAGCAAAUGCAGCAGCAAGGCAUAAGCCUUGAGUCCUGCUGAUUUUGUUCUUGUUUCAGCCUUCCAGCACCACUGUUUAUCAGCCCUGUUUCUGGGAUAAAGAGAUGAAGCAAUUGAAUUUCUGCAACCAUCUAGUCCUGUGGUUGCGACUGUCACUAGUCUGGUUCAGGGCACCAGCCAACUUCAGAAGAAGAAGAAGAAGGAGGAGGAAAAUACCACUUGCGAGAGAUGCUGAAGAAGUGGCUUGGGAGUACAGACUCUGAGACCAAGCACAGGGGCAAAGGCAUCAGCAGAAGUCAACUUGGACAAGACAAAAACACCAGACAUGAAGAAGGGGCAAAUGCUCUAAGCAUCAUUCCACAAGUAAAGAUGGAACAGAACCUGCCUUUUGCAGGCUAUUGCUUGCCUGCGCCCUCCACAACAACACUGUGAUGAAACAUCGCUGUGCGAAAAAAAAGGGAGACUCCUAAGACACACUAAGAUUGAAUAUUACUUUAGUGAUGAAAUCAUUACCUGAUGUGUUUGUACUUUAGAUUUGAGCAGUUACUGAAGGUAAUUGAGAUGUAGUAGACUAAUUCAGUUGUGAUUUUGUUUUGGUUCAGUUUCUUAUUUCUUAUGCCAUGUGAUCAAAAAAUCAUGCAACAGUACCCAGUGAGGUCACAUCAUGGUAUAACCUGCUCAUGGCAGUCGGUCUGUUGUCUUUCAACAGCAUAAGUGCAAGGCCGUCUUUUUAUAAGUGGAAUGAGUGUUUAUUGUUGAACACUAACUGGCAUCUCGCUUGUACUUAACUUGCCAGAAUGAUACAUUUUCCCCUUUGUGAAACAAAUUGAGAAUAUCUUCCGGUGAACAGUCUCCGUGACUGAGGAGCUCUUCACCGGCUUAAGUCAGAUACGAGGUAAAGAAUGAAUGCAUGGAUUGCUGAUCACAGUGGACUUUUCCAACACUUAAUAUAAUUGUUCUUUGUUUUCUGAUUCCAGUAUAAUUUAUUUUUUGACAAGUAUAACGUGUGUUGCUUGACUUUUUGAUCAUCCUGUGUGUGUUAAUUGUAUUUGUCAUUUGGCCAAACUGUUCAUUCAGUGUCAUUUAGAGAAAGUAUGUUUCUGUAGGAAGCUCUUCAUGACAAAGUGUGUUCACAUAAGUGAGAAUGUUGAAUAGGAAUUGUCAAGACAAACUAUAUUUUGGGCAUAAUUAGAUUUUGGGAAAUAUGUUAACAUUAACUUUAUUCAAAUCUUAAAUUGAUUUACAUUUCCCUACUAAAACCCAGAAGAAUGAUUGUGAAUGAGUGUGUACAUGGCCUCUGGCAUGGAGUAAAAUCCUGUAAGCCAUUAAGUUGUUAUACGGCCUCUGGUGUGGUGUAAAUACCCGUAAGCCAACAAGAGAUGAGUAUGACAUUGUACUUGGUGAAAAGAAAUGGAAAAACAUAAAGGACUGAGAUGUGUCAACUUACACCACGGUGUUGUUUCUUGGAUGUGUGGAGGAGUGUGUGAUGAAAACGAAAUUGGAGUAUCUUAUUUUGUAGGAAUAAGACAUUUUUUUGUGAGUUUGUAUGGUGUUCUUCCAAUAUUGUUAAGCUAUUAGGAGCUUGGGGGAAAGCACAUUCCUGUUAGUCAUGUGUUAGGCACUGUCUUUUGUACAGGAGCAAGUAAUAUAUUUUGCCCCAUGGAGUCACGUUUAUUUCAGAACAGGCUGUAAAAACCACACUAUGCAUUACAGUAGUAGUGCUUACAUGAUGUCCUGGGUUCAGCAUUCUCACACACUGACCAAACUGUUGUCACCUUUGACAGUCUUGCAUGACGUUUACUCUGAAUUCUUUGUCAGAAGACUCCAUGUUUGAUGUGAUGUGGGAACUGUAGUUGCAGCAGAAAUCCCAUCAUCACACUUUUUGCUGAGAGCACCAUUUCAGUGGCUCUUAUGCCUGGUAAAGAACUUCCUCUUGGAUGACUGGCAAAUUAAGAUGUUACUCAUUUUGUUUGAUUGGCUAGUCCUCCGAAGAGGAGCAUUUAUUUAAAACUGUAAAGUACAAGAUAGAUCCAUUUUUAUGAAUUUUAGGAACAUUUUAAUUUGGUCCUACACUUGGGAUAUCAAUUGAUAGUACAAAACAGGCAUAAGCAGUGCACUUGGGAGAUGAGUAACUGAUUGUUUGCGAAAAGAGGCUGAAGGAAAUGUCGAUCA
Molecule: non-coding RNA, 3811 nt
Organism: Zootermopsis nevadensis
Lineage: Eukaryota; Metazoa; Arthropoda; Insecta; Blattodea; Termopsidae
Source: RefSeq, a predicted model, not a curated record